This is a non-coding RNA of Podarcis lilfordi (Lilford's wall lizard), 9793 nucleotides long. The record is from the annotation of a GenBank genome assembly. Lineage: Eukaryota; Metazoa; Chordata; Lepidosauria; Squamata; Lacertidae.
CAGUACAUAAAUAAUGCCAAACACAUCUUGUAUUUAAGCCUGGCUUCCAUACUGAUACAGUGGAACCUUGGUUCUUGAAUGGCUUAGUUGAUGAACAAAUCAGCUUCUGAACGCCAAAAACCUGGAAGUAAGUGUUUCAGGUUUUUGAACGUUUUUCGGAAGCCGAACGUCCGAUGCGGCUGUCGGCUAUUGUUUCCGGGGCACCUGCACCAAUCUGAAGCCACACCUUGGUUUUUUAACAUUUCAGAAGUCGAACGGACUUCAGGAAUGGAUUGAGAACCAAGGUACCACUGUAUAUGCUUGAGCUCUUAAAAGUGAUCUGUCCCCAAACUGAGAAAUAUUUUAAGAAUAUGGGUGGAUCCCACAUAAGUAUGAUGUUCAAAGAGGGGAGAAGUAGCAACGCCACUACCAUUCCUGCUUUCAUUGCACCCAGGGGCUAUUUACCAACAGCGCUAGACAAAUAUGAGAUAGGGCACAACCAUUGUGGAACUUUGUGAUAGCGGGCAGCACCAAGGUCCAUAUUUCUAAGAAACCAUAACCAGCGCCAUGUUUCUAGAAAAAGAGGCGCCAGAACUCACCAUGAAUCCCUCCCUUGUUCUCUUAUAAUGGCAAUGGCGCCCACCUAAGAGGUGCCAAAACUGAGUUCCGGUGGGUUCCAGCUGAAAAAAAGCCCUGACCAUAACCAUAGUCUGAAACUUCUCUCUGUGCAUUUAAUGAACAUGCAGAUGGUGGGGGGCCACAGGCUUGUGCAUCCAAAGCCAAACCAAAUAAUCAGAGAAGAACCACAUACAGAAGCACAGCUUCUGCUUUGUAUGCAGAAGGUCUCAGCUUUCAUCCCCAGCAUCUCCUGGGAGGGACCCCUCCCUUAAACCCUGGAGAGCCAUUGCCAGUCUGUGUAGAUAAUACUUAGCUUGAUGGACCAAUGGUUUGACUCAGCAUAAGACAGCUUCCAGUGUUCCUUCCUAUUUUAAACACAUGAAUGGCUUGUCUUAUUAGGACUACUGUGGAGUUCCACAUGUCUGUCAGGAGCUCUCUCCUCUUAACUUUAUUAUUUUUUUCAGCUUGAAAUGUGGGAGUUCGUACAAAAGCACCAUACGAGCCAACAAUUCCUUUGCCUAGGAAAUCCUAGGUAACUUUGCAGAGACCAUAAAGGUAAAGGGACCCCUGACCAUUAGGUCCAGUCGUGACCGACUCUGGGGUUGCCGCGCUCAUCUCGCUUUAUUGGCCAAGGGAGCCAGCGUACAACUUCCAGGUCAUGUGGCCAGCAUGACUAAGCCACUUCUGGCGAACCAGAGCAGUGCACGGAAACGCCGUUUACCUUCCUGCCAGAGGAACGUUUACCUAUUUAUCUACUUGCACUUUGACAUGCUUUCGAACUGCUAGGUCGGCAGGAGCAGGGACCGAGCAACGGGAGCUCACCCCGUCACAGGGAUUUGAACCGCCGACCUUCUGAUCGGCAAGUCCUAGGCUCUGUGGUUUAACCCACAGUGCCACCUGCGUCCCUGCAGAGACCAUACACAAAGAAUAAUCAUUUAAGCAAAUUGCUGGGAUCAGGAAUGCCAAUUUGAUUAAAACUGGCAGCAGGGGGUGGGCAGGUAAGCUCCGCCCUGCAUAAUCAAUCACAGGAUGCGGCAUAUGCACACCAUUUGAAUGGCAGUGCCCAUUAACUUUGUGAUGGGGCUCAGCCCCUGGGAGUUGGCUCAUAUGGAUAGGAUGAGGUACACUUUAACAAAACAGGCCUUUUGCAGCUGACUUUAUUUAUUCUCAGACUUGCCAAAUGGAAUUCUUAUUGAUAGUCUAUAUUUUACAUGGAAGGGAUCUCAUGAUAGCGAUAUACAAUUAAGGAACCUAUUUUUUGCUUGUAUUUUCUUUGCUGUAUUUCGCAUGCUUCAUAUCUGCAGUGUCUACAAGCAUAUGCACGUACAUCUAAUUAAGAUCUGUUGUUUACGCUGAAGUGUAUUUUUUCUCCAGCUCCUGCUUAUCUUUCAUUUCUAGCUUCGCUUUGAUGAGGAACACACACAAACAACAGUAUAAAGAAAUCCUCCCUGGAAAUAAAGAAUACUAUAGCAAGGUGAUUAUAGCCUCUCUCCCUGGUGUGCUAGUUUGUUGCUUUUUUAAGUAUUUACUUACUAGAAGUUUGGGGGUUUUAUUUUUUAAAAAACCCAUGAUAUAGUACACUGAAAAAUGACAGGUCCAUCUCUAUGCGGAAGACUAAAUGAAAACAAAUCUGGCAUCAGAAAUGUCAAUAUCAUGAAAAAAGUGAGGGGAUCCGUUUCAACAUCCCAGAAUACUCUGUAAGGUGACCAUUCAGGAACCAAGGAACUUCAAAGGAAGAAGACAGCGUGAAACUGCUCAGUUGCAAUUCAUCAAGAAGUUCACAUGUGGGUUAAAUUGAGACGAAUUAAUACACUACAUGUAUUAAUUAGCUAACCAUACAUAUCUUUGACUUUCUUGUGAAUGAUUCCCUGCGCCAUUACAAGUGUUGGUACAGUCAUCUCAGCAAAUUAUCACCAAUCUGUUACUGUGAAAGGUAUGCCUAUUUAACAUAUGUUCAAACUCUAAUUAUCCCUAACAUUAAUUUUUGCCAAUCCACUUUCACCUUAUCCAUUUCUCACUUAUAUGCCUACCAACUAAGUUUUUGCUUUGUGAAUUUGAUGAAUUGGGUUGUAGUCCACAAACACUUAUGGCAAUAAUACUUACUGGUCUUUGUGACUUUUACUGAAACACAUUGCAAAGCAGUUUGCAAAUAAAACAAAGUAAAACAUUAAAAUUAUUCAUAAAAUACAGUGGUACCUUGUGUUACAGACGCUUAAGGUUACAGUCGCUUCAGGUUACAGACUCCGCUAACCCAGAAAUAGUACCUAGGGUUAAGAACUUUGCUUCAGGAUGAGAACAGAAAUUGUGUGGCAGCAGCAGGAGGCCCCAUUAGCUAAAGUGGUGCUUCAGGUUAAGAACAGUUUCAGGUUAAGAACAGACCUCCAGAAUGAAUUAAGUUCUUAACCUGAGGUACCACUGUACAGUUAAAACAUUCAAAACUAUGGGGUGUUUUCCACAAUAUUUCUAGUAGUUCUGCAUUUUAACACAUUAAGCAUUUACACAGUUUGGAAACUGAAGCUUUUCCCCCCUCCAAAAAACUGAUAACAUUGUAGGCAAUAAGUAUAUCAUGCAAAUUAUUAGUAGUAGUAGUAGUAGUAGUAGUAGUAGUAGUAGUAUUUCAAAUCCCAUCCUUUUCCCUUGUGGGACUCAAGGUGGUGCUUUUUUACUAUGGGGUCUAAAAUCAAUUGAUGAAAAAGCAGAACAGAACAUCAAUGGCUCGGCUGGCUAAUUAGAUAAAUAAUCAUUCACUAAACCUUUCUGUUUCUGUUUAGAUACAUAGAGACACACAUAUUGGAAGCUAUCCAUUUUUACUUUAAGUGAGGGUUAUGACAAGAAAAGCAAGCAUGAUAAAACAGGGCAGGCAACAGCCACAAACUUGAUUCACCGCGUUUACUGAACUCAAGAGAUCUAUUCUUAUCCUGGACUUUCAGAUGCCAUAUGCAAUAUAUGUGUUGCUUCUGUCUAGAUGAAAUAACAACCACCAAGCUACGGAGCUGUCUCAGUUCACAAACAGCCACAAGACAUAUUUCUUUCUCCAUGCUUAUUUUGUCCAUUUUAAAUUAGCUUUCGCACAGAGAGGUUUUCAGUAAACCCUAUAUAAUGCACACGCAAACCUCCACCAACAACCUGAGAAAAUUUAUUUUGCCAUAUGUACUGACUCCUAUCAUGAUUUACUGUAGUUAGUUGCCUGUUUCUCAAUAGUUUGCUGCUUUUUUUAGGGACAGAACGAAGUUUCAGAUUUUCUGUGUGUGCUCAAAAUUCACUUAAAGCAGAAUGCUGUAUUGGAUGAGCUGUGGGUCUGAUUCAGCAGGCUCUUCUAAUGUUCUGUGGCCUGAAGUUGGUUGGUGCUGAUAAUGCCAAGGUUGCAGGUUUGAUCCCUGUACGGGACAGCUGCAUAUUCCUGCAUCACAGGGGGUUGGACUAGAUGAUCCUCAGGUUCUCUUCCAACUCUACAAUUCCAUGAUGCUAUGAUUCUAUAAGAUGUUGCUGAACUACAGUUCCUAUCAUCCCUGACCACUGGCUAUGCUAGCAGGGCUAAUGGGAGUUGGAGUCCAACAACAUUUGGAGGGCCACAGAACAUAUGAAGAGUCUCCUGGAUCAGAACCAAUGGCCCAUCUAGUCCAGCAUCGUGUUCUCACAGUGGCCAGCCAGAUGCCUAUGGGAAACCAACAAGCAGGACCAGCACACUAGAGCCUCCCCCUUUUGUCGUUCCCCAUCCCUGACACAAAAAGCCACAAGGCUCUUUGGAUAACCUGCCAUUUAAAAAAGAGGGACUCUAAGGACUUGCUCACACUUUUCUGUUUGCCCUGCCACUUUCUGCAGAACGUGCUCUUUAGUGCUCAGUUCAAUCCAACGUCAAUCCACAGAAAACCUGACUGACAUUUACUCUGAUACAACAAUAAAGAAUGGGUUUUCCUGGGGGAAAGCAGCAGGACAAGUGGAAUUCUGGACGAGCCCUUAGAUCAGCUCCUCUUUUGCCUCUCAGCAGGGUUGUGCGUGACCUCACCACCUCAGAAGGAGGAUGGGGAAUCCCCAACAUAGAAGCAUAUUACAUUGCCAACUAUAUAAUCCCAUAUAUACUAGAAGGUGAGACAAAACAAUGGAUACACCUAGAGAGGGACACAAUUGAAAAUACCUGCACCACAGCAUACCCGCUCCUCCCAAACAAACUAAGGAAAAUUCACACAACACUUAACAGGUACACACAGACCAUGCUCAAAGCAUGGAAAACAGAAAUAGGCAAGCUAUCCCCAACCUCAUCCCUACUAAUUCCCCUGGCGUACCACCCAUUAUUCCACCAUGCAGCACAAAACCUCCAGAUAAAAACCUGGCAAACCAAAGACUUAUAUUGCCUAAUAGACUUUUAUAAGAAUAACAAAACUUUGUCAACACAAGAAAUACAAGACAAACUAGAAGACACCCAAAUGCCCUGGUUAGCACACCACCAAUUACAUGCCCUCUUAAACAAUCCAGCAGUAAAAUCAGCAGCAACUAGGCCCCUGACAACCUUCGAAAACCUCCUCCUAACAACAAAGGGACACGGUAAAGGGAUGGUAUCCUCAAUAUACAAAAUACUACUCCAAAAUCCCACAAACCCCCUAGACACAAUCAAAAAACAAUGGGAGGAUGACAUAGGCUAUGAGAUUAACCCCACUCAAUGGUCCAGAAUGUGGUCUAAACCCCCCUUUAAAUCCAUAUCAGCGAAAAGAAAAGAACUCACUCUGAAACUCACCUACAGGUGGUACCUAACACCAAGAAAACUAGCGCUAAUACGCCCAGGAUACGCCCAGGACCCUCACCAAAAUGCUGGAGAGGGUGCACCUCCAUAGGCACAUACCUUCACAUGUGGUGGGAGUGCCCCAAAAUCCAACUAUUCUGGACAACAGCCAUACAAGAAAUAUGUAAAAUAACUAAGCAAUAUGUAAAAUAAACUAAGAACAAUGCACAGAACAAUUCAAAUACACAAUUGACGAGGAAAUGGAGAGCAUUUUUUAUCCUGCCCUCUGACAACAGAAGCACUUCCCAGCUUUUCCCUUCCCAUUUUUAAGCCUUUGUGGGAAACGUCCCAACAUGUUUUCAGGUGUUUCAGAAGCAAAUUAUUAAUAAACCUGAGGUGGUUACCGUACUUAAAAGGCAAAAGGAGGGAUUCUUAGGAUGAGAAAUUCUCCAUGCCUGUACAAUGAAGCCAUGGAUAUCUAGAAUACAUUGAACAUUGCUGGUAAGGAAGGGAUUUCCAAAUUCAAUUAAACCUUCCAUUUUAGAAACAGUUUACAUAAUUAUAACUUAAAGUUACCAAGUUGAAAAUUAUAUACAUACAGUUCUGGGCACAGAUGAAAAGUUACAGUUACCAAAACUUUGUGUUACACAUAAUAUUGAGUUUUCUAUUACCUUAUUUUUCUCUGAUUCUUUGCCAAUCACUAGUUUCUCCAGACAAAGAAAAGCUAUUAUCUACUCACGUUUUGGGAACCAGAGCAAUCCUGCCUUACAUGCGAGUUUAAAAGGAGCAGCCUUUCAAACUAUGCAUUAAUAGAGAAUUCCUUGUGGUUAAGAUGGAAAAUAAACACUUUAGGUUUUCAUGCUCCUUCAUUUCAAAGAUAACAGGCUUGGCCAGUGUAACUGCUCUCAUUGACACCAAUAUUGCUUUUUGCUGUGUGUAGAAUUAUAAUGAGUUUUUUUAAAAAAAGGUUUUCAUUUUCUUAUUAACUGAAGUAUGAAUUGGAUACGUCCCUGCACAACUCGGUCGCUUUGAUUCAGUAGCCUGUUGUGGAGGUUUUAUUUAUUGUAAAAAUGUCCAUCCUACUGAAUCUUCCUAAAAGCAAGACAGCUAACAAAUCAGAAGCAGAAUACUAUGAAAGCAAACCACUAUCCUCAAAUUAAACCCAGCCACGCAGUCGAGACAUUAACAUAAAACUAAAACAAAUUGAACAAUUCCAAAAAAAAUCAUGGAAGAAACACAGAACUAUGCUGGUGAAGAAACUAAUUAGCCGAAGGCCCUUUUAAGAAGCCUCGUUUUCACCAACCACCCAGAGCAGUAUAAUAAUGGAAUUGGUAGGGUGGAAGGCUCGGAGACCAACAGUAGGUGGAGCCAGAGCAAAUGAAAGGCAGAGCAUCCUAGUCAUACUUUUGCCCCCAUCCUCUGCUGAGAUCUUCAAGCACAAUACUAAGACUAAGGAGGAGGAAACUGACUUACACUUCACUUAGCAAGGCAUUCUACAGGGUGGCUGCCACAGCAGAGAAAGUGCUAAUUCUGGCUGACUUCAAGCUCACAUCACAAGGUCAAGGGAUCUGGAGCAGAGAUUCUCUUCUUCUUUGGCGAUCACUCAUAGCUGAGUAAGAUUGUCUUCCAUAAACAUGGUUUUAACAAUAAGUCCAUAAGUGACUGUGGAGGCCAAUUCUGAAUCCACACAUCCUUCCACAGUGGGGACAUUGGUUCCUGGGUGGGAGUUGAUUAUGGUGUGGAUUUGCCAAGCGUGCCUUCCUCUUAGCACGUUUCUCCCUUGCGUCCUGAGUUUGAGUGUCUUCAAAGCCCAUGACACCUUUGGUAAAGGCUGUUCUCCAACUGGAGCGCUCACAGGCCAGUGUUUCCCAACUGUCAGUGUUUAUACUACAUUUUUAAAGAUUUGCCUUGAGAGAGUCUUUAAACCUCUUUUGUUGACCACCAGCAUUACGCUUUCCAUUUUUAAUAGAGUAGUUGCUUUGGAAGACGAUAAUCAGGCAUCUGCACAACAUGCCCAGUCCAACAAAGUUGAUGUUGAAGAACCAUUGCUUCAACAUUGGAGAUCUUUGCUUCUUCCAGUGCACUGAUAUUAGUUUGCCUGUCUUCCCAAGCGAUGUGUAAAAUUUUUUGGAGACACUGUUGAUGGAAUCUUUCGAGGAGUUGGAGAUGGCUUUUAUACGUGGUCCAUGUUUCACAAGCAUACAGUAAGGUUGGUAGUACAAUAGCUUUGUGAACAAGCAUUUUGGUUUCCCUGUGAAUGUCCCGGUCCUCAAACACUCUGCACUUCAAUCAGGAGAAAGCUGCACUCACAGAGCUCAGGCAAUGCUGGAUUUCGGCAUCAGUGUUGGCCCUUGUGGAAAAAUAACUGCCUAGGAAGGAGAAGUGAUCAACAUUUUCCAACUUUACACCAUUGAGUUGGAUUUGUGGUGCUGCAGACGGGUUAUUUUGUACUUUUUGGUACAGCACUUUGGUUUUUUGGAUGUUGAGUGAUAGGCCAAGCUUUUCGUAAGCUUCUGCAAAGAUAUUUAGGAUGGUUUGGAGGUAAUCCUCUGAGUGUGUGCACACUACAUUGUCAUCAGCAUACUGAAGCUCUAUGAUGGAAGUUACGGUAACCUUACACUUUGCUUUCAGCCUGCUCAGAUUGAAGAGCUUUCCAUCUGUUCAAAAUAUGAUUUCUACUCCGGUGGGGAGUUUCCCUUCGACAAAGUGUAGGAUCAUGGCAAUGAAAAUAAUGAAUAGAGUUGGGGCAAUAACACAACCCUGUCUAACUCCUGAUCCCACUGUGAAUGGUUCACUUUGAGAGCCAUUGUUAUCUGCGAUUGUUGCUGUCAUAUUAUCAUGGAGGAACCGAAUGAUGUUUACCCAAUUUUCAGAAGGACAGUCCACAGGGCAUUACGAUUUACAGUGUUGAAAGCCUUCAAAGCAUGUGAGGAGGAAUAUGUUGAAGAAAGUGGUCUUGAAGGCAUCCAGGUUCCAAGCUGGUGAGAGCUUUAAAGGUUAACACCAACACCUUGAAUUGAGUCUGAAACCAAUGUGUUGAAAAAUGUGUGAGGGAAUCAAAUUGCCUAGUACCUGUUUGUAAUCUGGCUGCAGCAUUUUGCACUGGUUGAUGUUUUGAAAAGGAUACAAUAGAUAGAAGUGGUUUGCCUGGCAGGGCAGAGCCACAUGGCACGCUUCCUGGUAGGAGAGUUGCUGCCACCGACUGGGAGUGAUAAAGGAAGGGAUGAGGUGGUGGGGAGGUCAGGGCGCACUGGAGGAAGCACCAGAUGGGCUUUACCAGUGCACCUACACAGCCCUGACUUGCCUGCCACCUUGCUCCUUCCCACCCACCUCCUGGUAAGCAGCAGCAAUAACACUUUCAGGAAGCUAGCAUUGCAGCUAGCCACUUCUAUGCAUGGAGAUUCCCAACCUUGAAAGAUUCCCCUCUCAUUUGGGCAGAUGAUGGGUGGGACAUACAGCAAAAUCAAACCCAGUUGUUGAAAGGAAAAUUCAGGAGUUUUCAAAUCACAUGAAACUGCAGAUCGCUGAGUGCAGAAUUAGUUCAGCAUACUUAGUCAAAAGUAGAAUUUGAUUCUUUGGGGCCAGCGGCGUAGCGUGGGUUGUCAGCACCCGGGGCAAGGCAAGUAAUUUGCGCCCCCUAACCCGGGGCAAGGCAAGUAAUUUGCGCCCCCUAACCCCUAACCUGCCGCCGCUGCCAGCUUCUUCUUGCUGCUGCCUGGUCUGGUCUGGUGUGGUUCUCUCCCGCGCUCAGCGCUGCGCUGGGCGGCCGCUGCACUGUCCCUCCCCCAGAUAGUCCCUCGCUCUCUCUCUCCGCACCGCACGCCUGGCACCCACCCCCUCCACAGUGGGCGGCGACCCAGCGGCUCGGAUCGGAUUCGCACAGCCAGCACUGCAGUGAGAGAGAGUGAGUGAGCCAGGUAGGGGCAGAGAGCUGCGAGUGCGAGCGCCCCCCCAGAUGUUGUGCCUGGUGCGGCCGGCCCCCCCUGCACCCCCCACGCUACGCCACUGUUUGGGGCUAAAGAAAUAAAUGAAAUAUGGGCUUGAUUAAGAUAGAAUUGUAGGUAUUAUCUGCAAAGUUUUAUUAACCUUGCAGUGCUUUUGAGCAUUUGUUCUCAAUGCUUUCUGAAAUCUCAGUUCUUGAGAAAAUCCAUUCCUGCUGGGACUGCAAGUGCCAUUUCUCAGUUUCAAACCCUUUUUGAGUUGGGAGGUUCACCUUACCUCUGGGAAAGCACUGCAAAAACAUUUCUGCAAAUACUGCUUUAAAAACAUUGUUUGCCUCUCCCAUGAGUCGGGCUCCCACUCACUGUUCCAUCAAAUAAGCUUAAUGGCCAAAAUACUGACUGGAACAAUAAACUGUAAAAGGAAAAUGUUUCCUUUUUAUUUAUUUAUUUUGCUUUUAAUAUGUUCCCUAUUUGCUUUUCCCAGUCAGACACCUCAAAACUUCAGGGUCUAAAAUCAGGCAAUAAAAUGUGCUUGUGG